RNAcentral lists this ribosomal RNA (771 nucleotides) under Pseudarthrobacter phenanthrenivorans. RNAcentral's name for it is "bacterial SSU rRNA". It matches the Rfam family "Bacterial small subunit ribosomal RNA", at positions 93 to 875 of the family's 1533-position model. Lineage: Bacteria; Bacillati; Actinomycetota; Actinomycetes; Micrococcales; Micrococcaceae. The record is from RNAcentral.
UAGUGGCGAACGGGUGAGUAACACGUGAGUAACCUGCCCUUAACUCUGGGAUAAGCCUGGGAAACUGGGUCUAAUACCGGAUAUGACUGAUCAUCGCAUGGUGGUUGGUGGAAAGCUUUUUGUGGUUUUGGAUGGACUCGCGGCCUAUCAGCUUGUUGGUGAGGUAAUGGCUUACCAAGGCGACGACGGGUAGCCGGCCUGAGAGGGUGACCGGCCACACUGGGACUGAGACACGGCCCAGACUCCUACGGGAGGCAGCAGUGGGGAAUAUUGCACAAUGGGCGCAAGCCUGAUGCAGCGACGCCGCGUGAGGGAUGACGGCCUUCGGGUUGUAAACCUCUUUCAGUAGGGAAGAAGCGAAAGUGACGGUACCUGCAGAAGAAGCGCCGGCUAACUACGUGCCAGCAGCCGCGGUAAUACGUAGGGCGCAAGCGUUAUCCGGAAUUAUUGGGCGUAAAGAGCUCGUAGGCGGUUUGUCGCGUCUGCCGUGAAAGUCCGGGGCUCAACUCCGGAUCUGCGGUGGGUACGGGCAGACUAGAGUGAUGUAGGGGAGACUGGAAUUCCUGGUGUAGCGGUGAAAUGCGCAGAUAUCAGGAGGAACACCGAUGGCGAAGGCAGGUCUCUGGGCAUUAACUGACGCUGAGGAGCGAAAGCAUGGGGAGCGAACAGGAUUAGAUACCCUGGUAGUCCAUGCCGUAAACGUUGGGCACUAGGUGUGGGGGACAUUCCACGUUUUCCGCGCCGUAGCUAACGCAUUAAGUGCCCCGCCUG